GGUGGAAGAUGUUGAGACGCCAGGAUUACUGAAGAACUGGCCAAGCCCUGUUGGCCAUGUUUUACUUUAUAAUGCUUUUGGGUCAUUCUCACUCUCCCUUUCCUACCUAUAAAGCCUAGCUAGUUAGCAAGCAAUACAAGCAAUAACAGAUUAUGUGUUUUAGUGUUGUCAUUGUUUCCAAUUCUGAGUGGAGCAUAUGUAGGCCUAAUUUGAUUUACCAACCGUGGCCCCAGCUCUUCAUUACUUAUCCAUUUACCUUAUAACCCUUCAUCCUCUCCUUUCAUUUGGUCUGAAAGGAAAUACGGUUUCAAUUGGCAUAAAAUAAAAUAAUGACUGUGUUUUUGUGGACUAUAUCAAAGCUAAAUACACACCUUGUCAAGUGAACAGUUCUUUCCCAGUCAAAUUAAUCUCCUGGCAGGAUUGGAGAGCUAGUGAUAGGCCCACCACUCACAGGCAACAUGCUCCCACCACUCACAGGCAACAUGCUCCCACCACUCACAGGCAACAUGCCCCUACCAUUCACACGCAACAUGCCCCUACCACUCACAGGCAACAUACUCCCACCACUCACAGGCAACAUGCCCCUACCACUCACAGGCAACAUACUCCCACCACUCACAGGCAACAUGCCCCUACCAUUCACA
Long non-coding RNA from Oncorhynchus tshawytscha (Chinook salmon), 644 nucleotides. The record is from Ensembl. Lineage: Eukaryota; Metazoa; Chordata; Actinopteri; Salmoniformes; Salmonidae.